This 202-nucleotide ribosomal RNA is filed under the name uncultured bacterium. Its description in RNAcentral is "partial 16S ribosomal RNA". It matches the Rfam family "Bacterial small subunit ribosomal RNA", at positions 385 to 579 of the family's 1533-position model. The record is from RNAcentral.
GAUCCAGCCAUGCCGCGUGUGUGAAGAAGGUCUUCGGAUUGUAAAGCACUUUAAGUUGGGAGGAAGGGCAUUAACCUAAUACGUUGGUGUUUUGACGUUACCGACAGAAUAAGCACCGGCUAACUCUGUGCCAGCAGCCGCGGUAAUACAGAGGGUGCAAGCGUUAAUCGGAAUUACUGGGCGUAAAGCGCGCGUAGGUGGU